UACAGAGGGCCCAAGCGUUGUUCGGAUUCACUGGGCGUAAAGGGUGCGUAGGCGGUUCCGCAAGUCCUGUGUGAAAUCUUCGGGCUCAACUCGAAGUCUGCACGGGAAACUGCGGGGCUUGAGUGUGGGAGAGGUGAGUGGAAUUCCCGGUGUAGCGGUGAAAUGCGUAGAUAUUGGGAAGAACACCGGUGGCGAAGGCGGCUCUCUGGACCGUAACUGACGCUGAGGCGCGAAAGCGUGGGGAGCAAACAGG
This 253-nucleotide ribosomal RNA is filed under the name uncultured bacterium. RNAcentral's name for it is "partial 16S ribosomal RNA". It matches the Rfam family "Bacterial small subunit ribosomal RNA", at positions 524 to 776 of the family's 1533-position model. The record is from RNAcentral.